Long non-coding RNA from Populus trichocarpa (black cottonwood), 1256 nucleotides. RefSeq lists it as uncharacterized. The record is from RefSeq and is a predicted model, not a curated record. Lineage: Eukaryota; Viridiplantae; Streptophyta; Magnoliopsida; Malpighiales; Salicaceae. The transcript is spliced from 2 exons.
GCCAGCCAGCAACACCAACCAAAAUCAAAGAGCCGACAAAUCCUCACAAAUCCAAUUAAAAAAUAAUUAAAAUUCUCUAACCAGAUAAUCAUCGACAUCACUCCCCAGAAAAAUAAAAAAAAAAACACAUACAGAGAAGAAAAACAAUGGCGAAGAGCACUGAUAAACACCGAUUCUUAACGUUGAAAGUCACUGAACCAGCAAAGAAGAGAACGAAAACGAGGGGAAAAAUCAGCCAAACUGAGUCAAAAGGCAGAAGAACUCUUAUCGCGCCCAACAACCUCAAGCAAAAAUCUCCAAAUUUUCCACUCGUCGGAAACAAAAUCGCUCAAACCAGUCAAGUGGGAAAUCUAAAGGUUACCAUUCACACGCAAGGGAGCCGUACAGAAAGAGAAAGAAAGAGAGCAAAACUGCCACUACAGCUAAUCAUGCCGAAGACUAUUCCAAAAUAUAGAUGUUUCUGUCCAUAUGUGAGGGAGCCGAAGCAAUUAUUUGUUUAGUCUCUCUCUCUGCUUUCGUGUGGACUGGCUUAAUUUUUAAGUGUUUCUGUUUGUGUCGUACAGAAUCUGGGAAGUAUUUCUCGAGGAGCCCCACAAACACACUGUUGUUCUUUACUUAAAAAUAUAUAAAAAUGAAAACGUUAUUCCGAUCGAAAAGUUAGGCACUUGUGCUUUUUAAGAUUUAAUAGUGCGUGAUAUACAGUCAAGCAAUGGGUAUUUAUAACCCCUCAAUUUGCCAACUUUCCCUACCAUACAAUAUCCACAAUCCCUCCAACUCUUUGCUUCUGCUAAACUCCUGCAUUUUUGCCUGAAUUAGUUGAGUUAUGGACGACUACAACCUAUACCCGCCUGCCCAAGACUUCGCCACCGGAGGCCAAUCCUUGGCUGUUAAAGGAGGAGUUGCUGGGGGCCUCCUCUUUCUGCUUCUUGCUUUCAUAAUUUAUGUGUUCCUCAAGGGCCGUGAUUGCUCCAUGAAUUGCGAUAUGAAAGUUGGUGAUGCUUCCAGCAGGCCGGUGGAAGAAGCCUGAAAUGCACAGACAGUUGUGUGCGUGUGUUCCUUUCAAGGAUGCAACUUAUGAAGUUGUGCUUCUUUAAUUGUCUGUCAUGAUCUUUUGUUUUUUAUAGCAGCAUGGCUGCAUAGACAGUUGGGACUUGACAGUUUGCUGUAGAUUCUUCAAACUUGUAUUUUAUGGUUGCAAUAAAAUAUUUAUAUUUCUCUUAAUAGAUUGAUUUUAUUUUAUUUAUUUAUAUUUGAAA